AAGUCGUAACAAGGUUUCCGUAGGUGAACCUGCGGAAGGAUCAUUACAACAAGGUUCCCUGGCCCUCGAAGCUUCGGCGGAGGGGUGCUACAGCCUGACUUUAUACCCACCCUUUGCCUAUGUGUACCCCUAUUGCUUCCCUCGGCGGGUUCGCCCGCCGACAGGAACCAACUAAACCCUUUGCAUUAUACAUUUAACACUUCCGAUACAAAACUAAAUUAUUACAA
RNAcentral lists this unclassified non-coding RNA (227 nucleotides) under plant metagenome. RNAcentral's name for it is "partial contains small subunit ribosomal RNA and internal transcribed spacer 1". The stretch from base 1 to 46 matches the Rfam family "Eukaryotic small subunit ribosomal RNA", at positions 1786 to 1831 of the family's 1831-position model. The record is from RNAcentral.